RNAcentral lists this ribosomal RNA (538 nucleotides) under uncultured bacterium. Its description in RNAcentral is "bacterial SSU rRNA". It matches the Rfam family "Bacterial small subunit ribosomal RNA", at positions 355 to 909 of the family's 1533-position model. The record is from RNAcentral.
UGGGGAAUCUUGGACAAUGGGGGCAACCCUGAUCCAGCCAUGCCGCGUGAGUGAUGAAGGCCUUAGGGUCGUAAAGCUCUUUCGCCUGUGAAGAUAAUGACGGUAGCAGGUAAAGAAACCCCGGCUAACUCCGUGCCAGCAGCCGCGGUAAUACGGAGGGGGCUAGCGUUGUUCGGAAUUACUGGGCGUAAAGCGCGCGUAGGCGGACUGAUCAGUCAGGGGUGAAAUCCCGGGGCUCAACCCCGGAACUGCCUUUGAUACUGUCAGUCUUGAGUCCGGAAGAGGCGAGUGGAAUACCGAGUGUAGAGGUGAAAUGCGUAGAUAUCAGGAGGAACACCAGUGGCGAAGGCGGCUACCUGGACCAGUUCUGACGCUGAGGCGCGAAAAGCGUGGGGAGCAAACAGGAUUAGAUACCCUGGUAGUCCACGCUGUAAACGAUGGGUACUCGGUGUUGCGGGUGUUGACCCUGCAAUGCCUUAGCUAACGCGUUAAGCGCCCCGCCUGGGGAGUACGGCCGCAAGGCUAAAACUCAAAGGAA